GACGAACGCUGGCGGCGUGCCUAAUACAUGCAAGUCGAGCGGACGGAUGGGAGCUUGCUCCCAGACCGUCAGCGGCGGACGGGUGAGUAACCCGUGGGCAACCUGCCUGUAAGACUGGGAUAACUCCGGGAAACCGGGGCUAAUACCGGAUAACUCUUUCCCUCACAUGAGGGAAAGCUGAAAGAUGGCAUCUCGCUAUCACUUACAGAUGGGCCCGCGGCGCAUUAGCUAGUUGGUGAGGUAACGGCUCACCAAGGCGACGAUGCGUAGCCGACCUGAGAGGGUGAUCGGCCACACUGGGACUGAGACACGGCCCAGACUCCUACGGGAGGCAGCAGUAGGGAAUCUUCCGCAAUGGACGAAAGUCUGACGGAGCAACGCCGCGUGAGCGAUGAAGGUUUUCGGAUCGUAAAACUCUGUUGUCAGGGAAGAACAAGUACCGGAGUAACUGCCGGUACCUUGACGGUACCUGACCAGAAAGCCACGGCUAACUACGUG
Molecule: ribosomal RNA, 498 nt
Filed under: uncultured bacterium
Lineage: Bacteria
Description: partial 16S ribosomal RNA
Rfam family: Bacterial small subunit ribosomal RNA
Source: RNAcentral